This 496-nucleotide small RNA is filed under the name Pan troglodytes (chimpanzee). Its description in RNAcentral is "retained intron". The record is from RNAcentral. Lineage: Eukaryota; Metazoa; Chordata; Mammalia; Primates; Hominidae.
AGCCGGUGGCAGCACAGCCAGGACAGCCAUUUCCUCAGCAGCCUUCGGUAAAGGCAACAGAUUCUGACGGUAACUGUGUAUCAGUUGGAAUUACUGCACUAACUUUGAGGGCCAUACUCAAGGACUCCAAUAAUAACCAAGUCAAUGGCCUUAGUGGAAAUACAACAAUUCCGUUUAGCAGCUGUUGGGCCAACUACACAGACCUUACUCCCCUUAGAACAGGAAAAAAUUAUAAGAUUGAAUUUAUACUGGAUAAUGUUGUUGGGGUAGAAUCCAGAACUUUCAGCCUGCUGGCAGAGUCUGUCUCUAGCAGUGGCAGCAGCAGCAGUAGUAGCAGCAGCAGUGGCAGCAGCAGCAGCAGCAACAGCAACGCAUCAACUGUGGGUACAUAUGCCCAGAUAAUGACUGUAGUAAUUAGCUGUCUGAUUGGAAGAAUGUGGCUCUUGGAAAUAUUUAUGGCUGCAGUUUCAACUUUGAAUAUAACUUUAAGUAAGUA